This 795-nucleotide long non-coding RNA is filed under the name Scleropages formosus (Asian bonytongue). RNAcentral's name for it is "lncRNA (ENSSFOG00015028779.1)". The record is from RNAcentral. Lineage: Eukaryota; Metazoa; Chordata; Actinopteri; Osteoglossiformes; Osteoglossidae.
GUAAACCAACAAUGAAGAGACAUUAGAAGUACUUCCCAGAACUGAUUCAUUUGAUCAAUCCAGAGGACAUUUUACCUUUUUUAAAAGGUUAAUCCUCACAGAUGUCAAAGUACCGCAUGGUCCAAGUAUUAUACAAAUAAUGAAGUCGUUACAGCAAUGGAUGACUAAGCAUGCCUUGGUAGGUGUCCUGCCUACAAAAUUUCCUAUAAAAGAGUUAAUUUAGGCAUUUUUUGACUGUAGAUAUGUGUGUGUGCGCACAUGCAGAUAGACAUCUCUUUGUGUGUGUGAGACCUCCUGUGUCAGGACAUGGCGGAGGAGAUUCAGUCAUUCUCAGUUCUUCCCCCACCAGGGAUUUACAGGAAAGGAAGGCUUGGAGGGACCCCAGGGGCCAGUAGGCAUGUAUGGUUUCCCAGGAGCGGUUGGCAUACGUGGGAGACCAGGACACCCAGGAGAGAGGGUAGGGGAUCAGUGCCUUUAAUUCACACUCUGCUCUAUUUGUGCAUCUGCUGGGAGUCUCAGCAUUCUUACGCAGCAGGUAGGGUAGAUUAUGAGAAAAUGCAGCACUCCCAGAUACAUUUUUGUGGAAUAUACCCAUCAGUGUCCACCAGGGAAAUGCGUAGAUGUUGCUUCUCCUCCCAAGCCUUUUACGGGGCCUCACAUAGGGUUUUUGCAUCCCUUUCCCUAGGGGGAGCCUGGAGUCCGAGGCCUGCCUGGACCCCCAGGGAAGAGUGGCCCUCCGGUAGGCAUGCAUCUCCAUCAGCCCAUCAGCCCACCUGGUCGCUUCAUCACUUCCAU